This 26-nucleotide non-coding RNA is filed under the name Mus musculus (house mouse). The record is from RNAcentral. Lineage: Eukaryota; Metazoa; Chordata; Mammalia; Rodentia; Muridae.
UAUGAUGUCAAAGGGACUGCUGGAGC